Molecule: long non-coding RNA, 410 nt
Organism: Musa acuminata AAA Group (dessert banana)
Lineage: Eukaryota; Viridiplantae; Streptophyta; Magnoliopsida; Zingiberales; Musaceae
Exons: 2
Source: RefSeq, a predicted model, not a curated record
UCAAAAAGGCCUUGAUGGGACCUGGUGGACCUGGACCAGGGUGGGCUCCCCUACCUGGAGGUCCUCCAGGUUUGACACCUGGACCAACAGGCUGCUGUGGCCUUCUCUCCUCAUGCUUCUACUUCCUCUGCUGCUGCUGGUUACUGGAAGACUGCUGUGGGCCCUUCUUUGGAGGUCCCCUGGGCCCUCCUCCUGGUCCACCAUAGAUGACAAGUGUGAGAAUUCUCUCUUCAACUGGCUUGUCAUUUUUCUUAUGUAUCAAUUCAUAUGCUCUUUCAGAGACCUGAUGAUCUUUUCAUGAGGUAAAUAAUAUGAUAAAAUCCAACACCUUGAGUUGUUGACGGGAACCAAGUCUUCUGGAAAUUACAAUUUGUUCAUCUGGAUAUUAUCCAAGCAAAGGUUUGUCAUGA